CUUUUACAAUGAAGAGUUUGAUCCUGGCUCAGGAUGAACGCUAGCUACAGGCUUAACACAUGCAAGUCGAGGGGCAUCAGGAAGAAAGCUUGCUUUCUUUGCUGGCGACCGGCGCACGGGUGAGUAACACGUAUCCAACCUGCCCUUUACUCGGGGAUAGCCUUUCGAAAGAAAGAUUAAUACCCGAUAGUAUAAUGAUUCCGCAUGGUUUGAUUAUUAAAGGAUUCCGGUAAAGGAUGGGGAUGCGUUCCAUUAGGUUGUUGGUGAGGUAACGGCUCACCAAGCCUUCGAUGGAUAGGGGUUCUGAGAGGAAGGUCCCCCACAUUGGAACUGAGACACGGUCCAAACUCCUACGGGAGGCAGCAGUGAGGAAUAUUGGUCAAUGGGCGCUAGCCUGAACCAGCCAAGUAGCGUGAAGGAUGAAGGCUCUAUGGGUCGUAAACUUCUUUUAUAUAAGAAUAAAGUGCAGUAUGUAUACUGUUUUGUAUGUAUUAUAUGAAUAAGGAUCGGCUAACUCCGUGCCAGCAGCCGCGGUAAUACGGAGGAUCCGAGCGUUAUCCGGAUUUAUUGGGUUUAAAGGGAGCGUAGGUGGACUGGUAAGUCAGUUGUGAAAGUUUGCGGCUCAACCGUAAAAUUGCAGUUGAUACUGUCAGUCUUGAGUACAGUAGAGGUGGGCGGAAUUCGUGGUGUAGCGGUGAAAUGCUUAGAUAUCACGAAGAACUCCGAUUGCGAAGGCAGCUCACUGGACUGCAACUGACACUGAUGCUCGAAAGUGUGGGUAUCAAACAGGAUUAGAUACCCUGGUAGUCCACACAGUAAACGAUGAAUACUCGCUGUUUGCGAUAUACAGUAAGCGGCCAAGCGAAAGCAUUAAGUAUUCCACCUGGGGAGUACGCCGGCAACGGUGAAACUCAAAGGAAUUGACGGGGGCCCGCACAAGCGGAGGAACAUGUGGUUUAAUUCGAUGAUACGCGAGGAACCUUACCCGGGCUUAAAUUGCAGUGGAAUGAUGUGGAAACAUGUCAGUGAGCAAUCACCGCUGUGAAGGUGCUGCAUGGUUGUCGUCAGCUCGUGCCGUGAGGUGUCGGCUUAAGUGCCAUAACGAGCGCAACCCUUAUCUUUAGUUACUAACAGGUUAUGCUGAGGACUCUAGAGAGACUGCCGUCGUAAGAUGUGAGGAAGGUGGGGAUGACGUCAAAUCAGCACGGCCCUUACGUCCGGGGCUACACACGUGUUACAAUGGGGGGUACAGAAGGCAGCUAGCGGGUGACCGUAUGCUAAUCCCAAAAUCCUCUCUCAGUUCGGAUCGAAGUCUGCAACCCGACUUCGUGAAGCUGGAUUCGCUAGUAAUCGCGCAUCAGCCACGGCGCGGUGAAUACGUUCCCGGGCCUUGUACACACCGCCCGUCAAGCCAUGGGAGCCGGGGGUACCUGAAGUACGUAACCGCAAGGAUCGUCCUAGGGUAAAACUGGUGACUGGGGCUAAGUCGUAACAAGGUAGCCGUACCGGAAGGUGCGGCUGGAACACCUCCUUUCU
Molecule: ribosomal RNA, 1536 nt
Filed under: Bacteroides fragilis
Lineage: Bacteria; Pseudomonadati; Bacteroidota; Bacteroidia; Bacteroidales; Bacteroidaceae
Description: bacterial SSU rRNA
Rfam family: Bacterial small subunit ribosomal RNA
Source: RNAcentral